This 467-nucleotide ribosomal RNA is filed under the name uncultured bacterium. Its description in RNAcentral is "partial 16S ribosomal RNA". It matches the Rfam family "Bacterial small subunit ribosomal RNA", at positions 29 to 507 of the family's 1533-position model. The record is from RNAcentral.
ACGAACGCUGGCGGCGUGCUUAACACCUGCAAGUCGAACGGAAAGGCCCUGCUUUUGUGGGGUGCUCGAGUGGCGAACGGGUGAGUAACACGUGAGUAACCUGCCCUUGACUUUGGGAUAACUUCUGGAAACUGGGGCUAAUACCGGAUAGUAGCUCCUGCUGCAUGGUGGGGGUUGGAAAGUUUCGGCGGUUGGGGAUGGACUCGCGGCUUAUCAGCUUGUUGGUGGGGUAGUGGCUUACCAAGGCUUUGACGGGUAGCCGGCCUGAGAGGGUGACCGGCCACAUUGGGACUGAGAUACGGCCCAGACUCCUACGGGAGGCAGCAGUGGGGAAUAUUGCACAAUGGGCGGAAGCCUGAUGCAGCAACGCCGCGUGCGGGAUGACGGCCUUCGGGUUGUAAACCGCUUUCGCCUGUGACGAAGCGUGAGUGACGGUAAUGGGUAAAGAAGCACCGGCUAACUACGUG